Molecule: long non-coding RNA, 30120 nt
Filed under: Malus domestica (apple)
Lineage: Eukaryota; Viridiplantae; Streptophyta; Magnoliopsida; Rosales; Rosaceae
Description: long non-coding RNA (MDOM_LNC003980)
Source: RNAcentral
GGUUCGCAACCUCUUCAUUUCUCUCAAUCACCAGCCUAGCUCGAGUCAUGUCCAAAAGCCUAAAAAGACAUGAGCCAUGUGACUUGCCUAACACUGCGCCCCAGUGCCACAAUCCGAGGUCCCAGCCACACAAGCUGCCCUUGGUUCUAGCCAAGUCGAGCAGCUUAAAGCAGUGGUCCCUGCCACAAUACCUCAUCGGCCCAUGCCGAGUCGACUCCUGGCCCAUGCCAGCCGACGUGCCGCACCACCCCGACGGCUGCCCCGCGGUAGCACUAUCCACGAAGAAGACGAAGAAAUCAACGAAAGACGGUCCUUUGCACGGGCAAGAUGUAGAAGAUUGCUAGAGGAGGGGGAACAAAUAUCCUCUAAGCUAUCUCUCUCUUGUAGGGUAGAAUAAAUCGCUCUCCAAAGUUGAUUUAAUAACCCACUUAAGGUGGAUUUAAAUAGGCUUUGAGAGAAAUUUAUUUCCCUUUCCUAGAAGGAUCUAAUUUCCUAUUAAAGAGAGAAUCUACAUCAAAAUAGGAAGCAGUCCUAAGUUUCCUAAAGCAAGAAGAUCUCUACACCUGCUGCCCUUUUCUGCGAGCAGCCCAACAGGUGUGGGGGCAUUUGUGGAGCCAAAAAUAUUCACAGGGCGACACGUGGGUUUUUUGGACAAAAAUGACAAAAAUACCCUUGCAGUACAACGAGGUUCCUACGCGCAAGCAGCGGGCAACCCUCUUUCAACCAAGACAGAAGUGCCCAAAAUAGGUAACAAUUCAAAGUCCAUCUCAUCAAAUCCUUUCUACAAGGUAAUUCCCAAACACAUUCCUUUUAAAUUAUGUUAAUUGGCUAAUUAAUGGGUUUAUUGCCUAAUUAACCCGUUAAUUGUCAAUUAAACCAUCCAUUAUAUCCAAAUAACUACAAAAUACAUCCAAUUCAACCCUAAAACACCACAUGGCCGGCUAUCCCCAUUUCAAAACCUAAUCCAUCACUUUUUUCUACCUUUUUCACCAUUUCUUCCUUUUUAUUACCCAAUAAAUUCAAAAACCACCAAAACAUUCAUCUUAUGUUUAAUAGCCAAAUAAAUUGGCUAAUUAAACCUAAAUUAAACCUAAAAACCCUAGCCACCUCCUAUCCCUAUAAAUAUACUCUCAUUCUCACCAAAAAGCUAAUUCCAACACUUUGGCAAAAAUCCCAAAAUUCUCUAAACACUAUUUCUCUCUAAAUUCUAACUUUGGCAUCGGAGGUUCUUCGGCCAAAGCCCCCCCAUUCAUCGUGGGCACGUGAGGCUCUUGGCCUUAACCUAAGGUGUUAAUUGUUUUGUAGGUGCAAAAUUGUCCAAGAUCAAGGAGGAAGAAAUUUGCAUCCACAGUUGACAUGAGUGAUGCUCAUGAAUGUUUAUAUAUGAUUGACAUGAGUGAUGCUCAUAAAUGUUUAUGUAUGAUUGACAUGAGUGAUGCUCAUGUAUAAUUUUGGAGUACUGGACAUACUUUUGAUCACCUAGUUGGUGAUAAUAGCGGCAGGCUGCCGAAUAAUUUUGGAGUACUGGACGUACUUUUGAUCACCUGGUUGGUGAUAAUAGAAGGUGAACCUUAAGUGGAGGGAUGUAAAUUGGACUUUGAAGCCAUAUGGCCUAGCUCUUUUGGGCAUAUGGGCCUUCACCCUCUAAAUAAUAUUCUCGCCCACUAUUUUGAGCCUGCCGACAUUUUGCCUUUUUUUUUUGGCAUGCUGCCUUCUAUCUUUAUUUAUGAUUACACAUCAAUAUAACUAUACAAUAAUUGCUCCAGUUUGCAGAAGACAACUAAAUAAAAUAUUCAUCAAUGAUAGUGGGUAUAGGUGUGCCAUGUUUUCCACUUCCUCAUCGGCUUUUCUCCAUCUCCAGACAUAUUUUCCUUUUUCAUUAUUUUCCUCCCUUUUUCUACUUUUGCUUUCUGUUUUGCUUUAUUUUUAUUUAUUUUUUUACCACAAUUCCAACAAAUGGAGAUGUUGUUUGUCCUUGAAAGGUGUACCAACAUUUGAUUCUGACACCACAUGCCUCAAAUUCUUUAUGACUAAGCCUCCCCUUAAUUCUUUAAGGCUCCCCAGCUCACCAAGACCAGCACUACCGCCCCUCCACAAACAAUUGCUUUCUGCUUUUCUUUUUCUGUUGCAUGGUCCACGAGUCCACCCCCAAGGCUCCAUAAUAUUCUCCCACACUACAAUUUGUGCUUUCUUUAAUAGCCUUAAAUUGUUGGUGGACAAGAUGAGCAGUUGAUGCUAAGAAAUUAAUUAAUUAUUUGGAAAGUGAAGACGUUUGGUGCCGACAAAAUGAAGGGGCAUCUUCUGGUGCGCUUGCCUUUAUUGCACCUGAUGGAGGUGGAGACGUUGGGCAUAACGGGACUACCAGGGACGACGAGACGUGAACGGCUUGUACUUCUGCGAUUGAUCAAACCUCCUCACCGAGGACCAGACGAGACGCACAGGGGCUUUGAUGUGCCUGACCAGAGCCGAAUUGCACUGGUUAUCUCUCUAGGUUUGUGCCUGUGGUCGUGCUCUCUCUGGCAUUCUCGAUCUCGGUCCCGCUCACGUUCCCUGUCGUGGUGGUGCCAUUGCUCAGGAUAAGACUAACCCAACCAAUUAAACCAAUUAAAAGAGAAGCGAUGGCCUCAUAAAUAUAGUAGAAUUUGUGGCGGCGAAGGACAUGGCCAAGGACGAAAGAGAGGACAAGCAUCAUGAUCUGGAGAAAAAUGUCAACCCCAGCGGCCUGCUGCUCCUUCCCUGGAGUGGUCCAAUUGGCAUCCGCCGGAGAUAUCUGGAUCGCCGUUAGUUGGUGUUCAUCUUUCAUCGCCAUUAACUGUCCUGCUGCUGCUCAACUUUUUCCAAUGGCCCACUUCUCAUCCAUCCUAAAAUCUUCACCGUUCGUCCCAUCCGGGCCCUCCUUCAGCGGCGACAGCACCUCCGGUAGCCUCAAGCUCCCGGAUCUCGGAACCAUCAGCGGCUCCGGCUGCGCCACGUGGUGGUUCCUCAUCCGCCUCAAUAAACCCAACAUUAGGGACUGGCUUCGUGCCAGACUCUUCGCCCCCGACCUCCCCGACGACAAACCCCUCGUCACCUCCUCUUUCAAAGUAUGCUUUCUCUCCAUUUUACAAGUCUGCCUCUCACCCAAAACUCUGCAGAAGAUGUAGAAAGAUAAGAGCUUUAGUUUAUGGGUUUUGCAGGGAAAAGUGAGAUAGUGAGAAGAAAGACGGAAACUUUGGCGAAAGAAACUUCUAGGUUUGAUUUUGUCGGUGUGUUUAGUGAGGAUGAAGUGGUGGUGGUUUAGAGAGAAGGCUGGACAUAGCCAUCUUUUCGGAGGAAAUGAAAUGAAAGGUUUUCUGAAAAAGUCCAAAGAGGGAGGUUUUGGGUUCUUGGGUUGUGCAGAUUCAUGGUGGUGAGAUGAAAACAAAUGAAAGAGAACCAACAGAACUUUUCGUGUCGAUUCCCACAGACGGCGCCAAAUGUUGAUGCAUAAAACUGGGAGGUCUUGGAAUAACGUAAAUCCGACCGUGAAUCUGCAAGAAAGUAAAGAACACAAAGAUGUAUCAUGGUUCACCCCAAUGUUUGGGCUACGUCCACACUGAUGUUGAUUGUAUUUCUCUAUAACUGUACGUAUGAAUUACAAGUGUGAGGGGGAGUCCCCCAGAGAAAAAGAGAGUGUGAGAAAGCUUUGCUCUGAAUAUGAGAGCCUCUGUUUGGGGAUGUGAGGCUUCUUCUGAUUGUGAGGGUGAGGAGUCCCUUUUAUAGACUAAGGGUUCCUCCCUUUUUACAUAGAUCAUGAGCUCAAUGUCUAGAAGCACAAGUAACGAGGCUCAAUAUAAUAUGGUACUAACACGAACCAACUCAAUUUUUUAUGAUUGCAACUUUCAAAAUAGGUAUGAUAUUAUAGAUUUACCAAACACAUUUUAUUGCUUAACUUUAAAAUGAAGCGAUUUUUGGUGAGAAAACAAAAAACAAACAGAUAGGAACUUAAGAAUUAGGUUUCUUAAGUUCAUGAACAACAACCUCUCACAAUUAAAAGUCAGACCCGUAUAUUGUUUAAAGGAGAACAUGACUGCUGUUUAUUAAAGUAAGAAAUUUUAUACCGUUUGAAGAUGAGUGUGACUAAAGAUUUUAUACUAUGCUUCAAGAUUCUAUAGAUUUGAUUUUUUGGCAUAUAUGUGCCAAAGAUUUAAUAGCUAAAAAUCUGGCUAAAUUUAGACACCGAAGCAUAUUAAAAUGGCUAAAUAGCCAAAAAUGGUCCUUAAGAUUUGCAUAACUCAUCACUUUGGUCCCUAACAUUUCAAAUCAAUAAAAGUGAUCCCUGAGAUUGUCCACCAUUCAUCAUUUUGGUCAUUCCAUUAAAAACUCCAUUAAGUGUCCCAUAGCUCUUGGUCGGAAGUUUAGGCAAUUUUCAAAACUUCGUAAUUCAAUCGUUUCUUAACCAAAUUCGACCCACAGUAUAUCAAAAUAAAGAUAGGAAAGUGUAGAAUAAGAUUGUACCUAUUUGGAAGCCUAAUGGCUGCUGGAGAUGGCCGGAAAAUAACCUCAAAGUUGACUGGUCCGAGGGAAAACUUGAAAACUCACAAGAAACUAGGUAAACUUUAAACGUUCAUAACUUCUUCAAUACUCAACGAAAUCAAGUGAUUCAAAAAUGAAAAUCAUAUUUGUCGACGAGAUGAAGAGAAUGGCUUAAAAGUGGCUAACUCAAUACCAAGACAACUACUUUUGAGCCGUUUUCCUACCAAACCACGGUGAGUUAGCCAUCGAAAAAGGUACCAUUUUCUUCAUCUCAUCGAGAAGUAUGAUUUUCGUUUUUGAAUCACUUGAUUUCGUUGAGUAUUGAAGAAGUUAUGAAUGUUUAAAGUUUACCCAGUUUCCGGUGAGUUUUCAAGUUUUCCAUCGGAAUAGUCAACUUUGAGGCUAUUUUUCAGCCAUCGCCGGCAGCCAUUGGGCUUCCAAAUAGGUAUAAUCUUAUUCUACAUUUUCCUAUCUUCAUUUUGAUAUAUUAUGGAUCAAAUUUGGUUAAGAAACAAUUGAGUUACGAAGCUUUGAAAAUUGCCAAAACUUCCGGCUAAGAGUUUCGGGACACUUAACAGAGUUUUUAACAGAAUGACCAAAAUGAUGGAUGAUGGAUAAUCUCAGGGACCACUUUUAUUGAUUUGAAAUGUUAAAGACUAAAGUGAUGAGUUAUGCAAAUCUCAAGAACCAUUUUAACUAUUUGGCCUAUUAAAAUUUUUGGCAUGACAGUUGCUCGUGCGAAAAGGUCUUAGAGUAAAUUUCAAACAGUUGUAAUUAGGCAAUCUAGAAGGGGUUAAAAACCUAGGGUUUUCUUUACCACCACCGCCAAUCUGGAUUCCGACGUGGAGUGGGACCCCUCCUACGUGUAAAAGUGAACGGCGAUGGUUGGAGCACCGAGAGCCAAUGAGCCCAAUAAGAAGCAACCGACUAAACCACAGCCGCGCGGACUGGAGCGCGGAAUCUCAAUCAAACAUGACCACGAGUCUACGAUCGUAACGUCAAAACAAUCCCAGCCGUCCAUUGGCCCCACAUCCCACGGCUCCAAAACUCUAGGGUUAUAGAACAUUCUGGAAUUCCAACCCCCCAAACUCUAUAUAAACCUCCUCGAUACUCCUCUUCCUUUCAUUCACUCUGCAAACCCUAGCAGCCACAGUUGUUUUUCGCCUUCUUAUUAUUUCAUUCACCGUCGGCAAAACCCUAGAUUGAUACAAUGGCCGGUAAGGGAGAAGGUCCGGCCAUCGGAAUUGAUCUUGGCACUACAUACUCAUGCGUCGGUGUUUGGCAACACGACCGUGUAGAGAUCAUCGCCAACGACCAGGGUAACAGAACCACCCCGUCGUACGUUGCUUUCACUGAUACCGAGCGGUUGAUCGGAGAUGCCGCUAAGAAUCAGGUCGCCAUGAACCCCAUUAACACCGUCUUCGGUAAGAUCUGAGCUCCUUGUUCUCUCUCUUUCAGUAGAAUAUGGAUCUGUAUUGUUUCUUUUGCUAGUUUCUGGAUCUGUAUUUUUGUUUAAAUUAGCUUAUAGAUCUGUAUUCUCUUAGUAGUAUGCGUUUAGAUCUGUUAAUGCUAUUUGAUUCCUUUUUGUUCAUUGACUUUGUGAAUAUGCAUCGAUUUGAUUUGUGGUAGUGAGAUUUAUGGUUGCUGAUUUAGAUUGGAUCUGUAGUUAACAAUUUGGAUCAGUGAUUUGAAAGUUUUCAAAUUUGCUUAGUAGAUCUAGUAAAACAGGAUCUUAGUUCUGUCACUAUUUAUUUGAAAAUUAUUUGAACCUUUUAAUUAAGGUACAUAUCAAUUGAAAUGAUAGAACCCAACUGAAUAUUUAUUUGAAUUUUUUAAUUAAGGUACAUAUCAAUUGAAAUGAUAUAACUCAACUGAUUCUUUAUUAACAUAGAUAUUAUCUGGAAAGCUAAAUGUUUUGUACAAUGAUUGAUCUGUUAAAAACAUGGAUUACUAUUGUAUAAGAUUACUUGGAUGUGUUAUAAAUAUGGAUUAGUAUUGUAUAAGAUUACCUCUGUUAAAAAUAUGGAUUAGUAUUGUAUAAGAUUACCUCUGUUAAGAACAUGGAUUAGUUGUAUAGAUUAAUUUUUUAAAUAAUUGUUUUGAUAGUAUGCUUACAGUGAUUUGUUUUAAACUAAAGAUGUGUAUGUUGAUAAUCUUUGAUUUGUUAAAUUUGCAGAUGCUAAGAGGUUGAUUGGUCGUAGAAUUUCUGAUGCCUCUGUCCAGAGCGACAUGAAGUUGUGGCCAUUCAAGGUUACCUCCGGCCCUGGUGACAAGCCCAUGAUCGGAGUCUCCUACAAGGGAGAAGACAAGCUCUUUGCCGCUGAGGAAAUCUCGUCUAUGGUCCUCAUCAAGAUGCGUGAGAUCGCCGAGGCCUACCUUGGCAGCACCAUCAAGAACGCUGUUGUCACAGUCCCUGCCUACUUUAAUGAUUCCCAGCGUCAGGCCACCAAGGAUGCCGGAGUUAUUGCCGGAAUCAAUGUCCUCCGUAUCAUCAAUGAGCCCACCGCUGCUGCCAUUGCUUAUGGUCUUGACAAGAAGGCCACCAGCGUUGGUGAGAAGAAUGUCUUGAUCUUCGAUCUUGGAGGUGGUACUUUUGAUGUGUCUCUUCUCACCAUUGAGGAGGGUAUUUUCGAGGUCAAGGCCACAGCCGGUGACACCCAUUUGGGAGGAGAAGAUUUUGACAACAGAAUGGUGAACCAUUUCGUUCAGGAGUUCAAGAGGAAGAAUAAGAAGGAUAUCAGCGGCAACCCCAGAGCCCUCAGGAGGUUGAGGACAUCUUGCGAAAGGGCGAAGAGAACCCUCUCUUCCACCGCUCAGACCACCAUUGAAAUUGACUCCCUUUACGAGGGUAUCGAUUUCUACUCCACCAUCACCCGUGCCAGAUUUGAGGAGUUGAACAUGGAUCUUUUCAGGAAGUGUAUGGAGCCAGUUGAGAAAUGUUUGAGGGAUGCCAAGAUGGACAAGAGCACCGUCCACGAUGUCGUUCUUGUUGGAGGAUCCACCCGUAUUCCUAAAGUACAGCAGCUUCUUCAGGACUUCUUCAACGGCAAGGAGCUCUGCAAGAGCAUCAACCCUGAUGAGGCUGUCGCCUAUGGUGCUGCCGUCCAGGCUGCCAUUCUCAGCGGAGAGGGCAACGAGAAGGUCCAGGACCUUCUUCUGUUGGAUGUUACCCCUCUUUCCCUCGGAUUGGAAACCGCCGGAGGUGUCAUGACUGUGUUGAUCCCCAGAAACACCACCAUCCCCACCAAGAAGGAACAGGUCUUCUCAACCUACUCCGACAACCAGCCCGGAGUCUUGAUUCAGGUGUAUGAAGGAGAAAGAACCAGAACCAGGGACAACAACUUGCUCGGAAAGUUUGAGCUCUCCGGAAUCCCACCUGCACCCAGAGGAGUACCCCAGAUCACUGUCUGCUUCGACAUUGACGCUAACGGUAUCUUGAAUGUCUCCGCCGAGGACAAGACCACCGGACAAAAGAACAAGAUCACAAUCACCAACGACAAGGGCAGGUUGUCCAAGGAGGAGAUUGAGAAGAUGGUUCAGGAGGCCGAGAAGUACAAGUCGGAGGACGAAGAGCACAAGAAGAAGGUUGAGAGCAAGAACGCCUUGGAGAACUAUGCCUACAACAUGAGGAACACCAUCAAGGACGAGAAGAUUGGGGCCAAGCUGCCGCCGGCCGACAAGAAGAAGAUCGAAGACUCGAUCGAGACUGCCAUCCAAUGGUUGGACAGCAACCAGCUGGCGGAGGCCGAUGAGUUUGAAGACAAGAUGAAGGAGUUGGAGAGCAUCUGCAACCCAAUCAUCGCCAAGAUGUACCAGGGAGCUGGGGGCGAAGGUGCCGGCCCAGUUGAUGAUGAUGAUGCUCCACCUAGUGCCAGCGGCCCAGGCCCCAAGAUCGAGGAGGUCGACUAAGUUUUUUGCUGCCAGGGGUUAUGUCGUUUUUUGGGAAUUAUUAUUUAGGUGUCUGUGGAACUUAAUAUUUUUAUGUUUUAUUUGGCCUUGAAGUUAUAUAUCAAUGCCUAUUUUUCUAUUUUGCGGAACCUUUUAUGUUGUGCCGCCGGUAAAUUUCUGCCAGGCGUUUAUUUUUAUUUUUUUUGAACUUUUUAAUUUGUACUUUUUUAGCCAGUUUUAAAGGAAUAUUCUUUUGGCUAUAUCAUGUUUUUCUUUCUUUUGUUAGAAUCUUUAUUAUACAAAAAUAAUUUAUCAAAUUUCUCUUAAAUUGGAAAAUUAAGCUUUUGAAAUGGAACAGAUUGGAUCAUCUCAUAAUUUCUCGAAGUACACAAAUGAAUCACACCAAUUAGACAAAUAAACUUGAUUUCUCACAACCCAACAAAUGAAACACAUAAAUCCAACUUUCCUAUCAUUUCGAGGAACCAAACAAAACAGUAAGAGAGACUCAUUACCUUGAUCGUUCUUGGCAGUAAAGAAAAUGGUCCAGUCUCGUCCCCAAUCAAGCACUCAGAGAUUCUAGGCCUAAAGCUAUUCGCCGGAACCUUCACCCUACUGGCCGGAAUCACUUAGUUGUUCGUUGUUGGUGAGGCGAAAGGCCUGUUUGUGGUCUGCGCGGCUCAUGUCACUUAGACCUCCAUCACAAUAUGAAUUUGUGAAAAAAAAAAAUUAAAAAAUCUGACUUGUUUUCAAAUUACAAUGGGUUAUUCUUAAAUUUUUUUAAGUCCAGUUUUGCAAAAUGGGCUUACCAUACAGGUUGUUUUUUACCUUAAAAAUUGUUUUUGAGUUAAAAACUUUAUACUCAAAUCCAAUACCAAACAGACCCUAAGUUUUUGAAAUGGAACUGAUUUCACCUCACAUUUUUUCUUGACACUUAUUUUGACAAAAAAGACGGUGUGGCUUUAGGAACAAAUUUCAAGUUUGUAAGAAAUACGGUACGUUUUGAGUUUGCUUAUUGACGCUGAUAAAUUGAUUCCUGGUGCUGAUAAAUUUUGUGAUGGUGGACAGAAAGAAGUUGAAAUGUCUCUAUAAGUCUUUCUGAUACUCGGAGGUUACGUGGUAAAGUAACCGGUUGAUUUCCUUUUUUUUAAUUUUAAAUAUUGAGUAUUGACACGUAUUUUGACCGUUAUAUUGACUAUAAUGACGAACGAAAAGAUGAUGAUCACGCAAUUCCUUGACCCUCUUUAACCAUCCAUUUGCAAUCCAACGGCACGGCAUAUCCGUGCGUGAAGCAAAGUGUGGAUACUGACAGAAGGCGGGAAGACAUAGAACCUGACAUCAAAAUUGACAUGAAAUUAUUUGAAGCAAUAACAGCCAACAAGGUGUCGCUUCAAAGAGGCCAGACGCCACCAUUGACCCCUUCUCUGCCUGCCUUUGCCCUUUUAGCCUUACUUGCCUCCGCCAACUCCCCUGACGGACAAAGGUUGUCAAAUGCAACCCUAUCAAGUCAUAUAAAUCAAGUUGUGGAUAAAUCCUUCACCUACUAAUUCCAAAUUCAAAAAGAAAAAGAUUUACGAAUUUACAUUGUGACAAGCAACAAUUACUUAGAUCUUGAUUAAUUUGGCGAUACACAUUUUAUACAAGAAAAAUCACAACUUGUGAUAUUUAAUUUUCUAUUUGUAAAAGAAAACUCGGAACUUGAGAUAUUUAAUUUGGUGAUAUACAUUUUAUAAAAGAAAAGUCGGAUCCUUGAAGAGUUAGCUGAUAUUUGUACAAAGUUAGUCUCUAAUCGAGUUUUUCAUGACUUAAUGUAGCAAACCCUUAAAAAUGGUGUCCUUGAAUUAUUUAGUUUUCCAUUUCAUUGUACCAGAAUAAAAAAGAGAAGUGGUCAAAGAUCAUCUAAACCCAACAUUCCGUUAUACGCCAAAUAAAGUCACGCGAUUAAAUUUUUAACUUUAAGUAUUCUCUAACAUUGAAGAAACAAAAAUGCAACACUAGAUUGUGAGCUGGUUGACAAGUUUCGUUCUUUAAUACUAUCAUCAUUUAAGUGAUUAGCAACAUUUGUUACCUACUUAUCUGACAGCUACUUUUUUUGUUCAUAGUUAAUCACUGUUGACCCCAUUUCUGUAACAAUAACAUCACCAUGAACCGAAAAGAACACAAAUCACUUGUGCUUUUGGCGAAUAAAGUGGAAUUCCCACAACCCACAGCUUUUAGGAAUAUCCAAUGAUUCAAAUACAAAACCCUAAUGUCACGUCGCCUUCCCAAAAAAUAUCGGAGGCAGAUUAUCUGUCCUCCCACUUCCCAUGUCCACCUGUGCCCUUCUAUUUGUGUGAUCACGGUUAAGACAUAUUAACAUUUUAUAUUACUAUUAUUUUUUGUCUUAUUAUUUUUAUAAAAAAAUUAAUAUAAAAUGCUGACGUGGUUUAACCGUGACCAUACAAAACAGAAAGGCACGGGAGGGUACGAAAAGUAGGAGGGGAGAGAAUCUGCCUCCAAAAAUAUCUCCUCUUUGAAAUUCCCUCAAUUGCCCUGCGGCUGCCACAAUUUUUAUUCUUAUCAGAAAGCUAAGCCAUUGGUGUGAAGGAGUUAAAAAACUCUAACAAGACCUUCCGUAUCGAGUGCCGACUUCAUUAUAAGCGGUUUGUAACUUAAGUCGUUGUCCGGCUUUAUAAGAAACGAUUUGUAGCUCAAGUAAUUAAGAGUGUAUAUUAAAGCAAGCAAGGUCUUGUAUUUCCUUCUUUUCCCCAACAAAAAGCCCCUCUUCUAAUAAGUGGGUGGUGACAGCAAUGCAAAAAUGAUAAGAUAUCAUCCGAAGGAAGAAGAAUGCAACGAUAUGUAACUAUGACACGUGUCCGGCUUCAAAGGAUAUUUUAGUCUUGAUGAAACAAACAAACAAGGAAAAUGUAUGAACAAAUUGAUCUCUGCGCUGGGAUUCAAGUUCAACCCUAAAUGAAAUAUUACAGAAAAUAUUCGUAAAUCAUAGCCUAAUUAUUGAGAGUGAUCAAAUCAAAUAUCGAAAAUUAUACUGAUAACUGAUCAUUUACGCAAAGUGAGAUUUGAAAUAAAUUGAUCAUUUCAGUCAAUUUUUCAAAAGACACUGAAAUAUGUGAUCAUGGAUUCAUUGGCAUCAUGCCCCUUCAACCUUCAAUACAGAACAGUUCAUACAACCACACACUCAGUUUUCUAAGCCAUUGACACAAGCUAUGAAAGUGAGAAAGUCAUGUUCAAUGUAUCGACAGGGCAGAUUAGUCUACAGUUUAACGACUCGAACCGAAUAAAAAUCAAGAAUUUUUUUGACAAAUCUAUAUAAAUCAAGAAAAUAGUGAGAGUCAAUUCAUAACCAGAUGCAUAACUUAGUAGCAAAAACUGAAAAGCCAAACGUGAGCAGCACGUUUUUGUUUCCUUCAUGCAAUACGCUUUCAUGGUACAACAGUUAGUAGAACAAUGCCCCAACCAUGACAAUAAACCCUUACAGACCUCUAUAAAUUGCCUAAUUUUAAGUCAACAUGAGAUCAUUGCCUCCAAGGUGAGGGCGUAGGCAAACACGAACCUCAUGUUCUUCUGGCCCAGCGCGGAGUUUUGGAACCAUAAUCUCAAGCACAGAGCCUGGCCCGUCGUAAUAAGCUUCUAUGUUAGCGUCUUCAGGAAUGCGGGUGGCAAGCGGGAUUUCCCUGACAAACUCUCCUGGGGAACAAUGCUCAGAGGCUGGAUCCGUAAGAAUGAAAGUCCGAUCAUGUCUCUUGAUGUAUGGCAAGCGAGAUGUGCUUAUACAAGAUACCUUAAUGAUGCCUUGAGUAAAAGUAUUCCUCCAAGAAACUUUCACCCUUUGAAGAUCCACAAAGGGUAAGCUGAUGAUGAUUAAAUAACCUGCAUCAUCCUCAUAGAUUGUUUUUGCAGCUGUAACAGGCCCGUAGACGUUCUUCAUUACACCACUAAAUUGAUUUGGCCAUUGCACCUCAUUUGGGUGGGUUUCCGUAUCUGGGAUUCGAUCGGACGGAGGAUUAACAGCCAGGUAGCAAUCGUCAUCAUUCCCGUGGGGGAAAAACUCCUUCCUCCUCUUGCUGACAGGAGAAAGGUCCAUUCCAUCAGAAUUGUUGUUGAUAGAUGGCUGGGUAGACAAAUUGAGCCCAGACCCAUUCAGAAGUUUCUUUGAGUGAGAAUUGGGCGCGCUCUUUAUUGGAGCAGGUGGCCUCUCAAGCUCGAAAUCUGUAUUCGGAAGGUUUCUCCAAGAACUAAAAUCCCCUGCUUCCAUAGGAAUUGUGAAGUUCACAUCCCUCCCAGUCAGUUCCAUCCACCUUUUACGGUCUUCUUCAUCAAGACCGAUGAGAUUAGGUGACCGAACAAGCUCAAUCCCAUGCACACAUUGGGGGUUUGAAAGACCCCUAUAAUGCUUCCGCUGCAUCCUGUGAGAUCGAGCAAAACCCUUGUCGACACUAAAUGGAAACAGACGCUCCCCUUGGCGGGAAUGCCCAUUCAUGUAGCUCCUUAGCUGCAUCUUCCCCAAAGCAUUCUCAGGCCUCUCCUUGAAAACCCACAUGUACAUGUUCUCCAUGUCAUGCUGAACCAUGAAAACAUCAAGCUUGAGAUCAGAUUUCUCAUACCCAGAAACACCAUUACUGUCCCGGACGAUUUUGGCCUUUGACUUCUCAUUCAAUGCGGGCUUGAAGUAAAAACUGAAGAAGAACCAAGCGCCCCAUAUGCUGUCUACUCGCUUGGCGCAUUUCCGUCCAACCUUGGGCAUUGUAAGCAAACUCUCAGUCUCAUACACCUGUGGGCCAAGGCCAACAUCUAGAAUAUCACAAGCGUCUGAAUUCCACGAAGGUGGAGGUGGGCUGCGCUCGGCUGACAGGGGCAAAUUUAUAUCAGGGGGGCCGGAAAGUAUGAUCUGUCGAUUCAUCUCCAAAUCCAAUUCGUCGUGAGAGGAAGCGCUGGAAUCCAUGGACAAGAGCGUGGACGGGUGGUGAUUCUCCAUUGACAGGGCCGUGAGCAUCGAAUCUGCCGUUUCAGCUGAACAGCUCCUCGGUGGGGAUUGUUGCUGGUGGAUUGAAUAUUGCCAUUUUUCCAAAAACAAUUCAAAGAGAGAACAACAUCAUAUCAAUCAAUCCCCACUGUAUCUUCCCUCCAUCAAAACCCUAGAUUUAUCAAACCAGAUGAGAAUUUCCUCACAAACCCACAUCAAAUAUUCAACAAUAUAAAACAAGAUUCAAUACCCCCAAUAAACAAAUUAUAAAUAGAAAUAGAAUUCCAGAAGAACUGAUGGUAUAUAAUUUAAAUUCAAUCACAAAGGGAGAGAGAUAAAAACGCUAUAGAAAAAAUGUAUCUAACCCUAGCCCAAGAAUCUCCUGAAUUCCACCAAACCCAGGUGGAAGACACUGAAUCAUACCCAUCAAAUCCAUGAUUUUUUUUGUUUUUUUUUUUUUAAAGCACAAAUUUUACAAAAACAAAGGGGCUAAAAAUCCAGAGGACCCAGAAGACCCAGAAGCAGAAAAACGAAGCAGGGAUCCUGAAAGAGAUUACCUUUUGGGAUAAGCAUCGGGGAAGCGGAAGCAAGAGGAACCUCCAGAGGCGACCAUGAUGCUCAUCUCCAGCAUAUCAUCAACUACCAUGUUUGCUCUUCCCUUUUCCACUUUUAAUUAUUUUUAAUUUAUCUGUAAUUUUUAACUGUUAAUUUAAUUUAAUUUAAUUUUUGGAUUAGUUUGCCGUCCGAAAAUACAGACACAAUUGGGGGAGGGUGAAAGAAAGAGGGCUAAAGUUGGAUUUAGGGUUUGUUGGUUGGGGGGGAGUGAAGGGGAAUGGGAUUGGGAGUAGGAAGGGAAACCGGAGACGUGCGGGAGCAUCUACUUAUAGAUUAAGAGGUGGUGGGUUAACGCCCCCAUUUGGGCUUCCGUUACCGCCGUGAAGGUGUUUGCACUUUUGGCUUUAUUUCUUUAAAGGUUUGUUUGGUAUUCUAUUUGAAUCCAAUGUUUUAAAUUCAAAAACAAUUUUAAAAAACUGAACUCAAGACUAACUAAAAAAUAUAGUCUAUUCUCUAAAAACAUAAAAAGUAAGUUUUUAAAGUUUUUAAACUUAAACUCUCUCAUUUCUUUUUUUUUUCCCUCCUCCCAUCUCACUCCAAAUCUCUCUUUUUUCUUCUUUGUCUCUCCUUUAUUUUUAUACCUUUUUCGUCUCUCUCCUUUAAUCCGUUUUCUUCAUUUUCUCGAUUCUUUCUCUCACUCAUCUUCCUCUCUAUCUCGUCCAAUCCUCUCUCUUCUUUCUCUUUCCUUCAAUCAUCUCUUACUUUAUUUCAUCCUCUCUCCUCUUUCUCCCUCUCAUGUGACCCCCUCUUUUUAGAUUUCUUUGUUUAGUUUAAGUCGUAAGAUUUAAAAAAUUUAAAUCGUAAACCAAUCAAGUUUUUGAGUCCUAAAGAAAAUUGUUUUUAAUAAAUGUUCUUAGGAAAUAUUUUGAGAAAUGAUAAAAAAUUUCAAAUAAGAUACCAAACAGGCUCUAAAUUUUUUGUCCAAAUUGUGCACUUUCUUUGGUGUUUUAUUUUUAUAUAUAUUUUUUACUUUUUGAAGUGUUAAUUCACUGAAUUUAAUCUAGAAUUUAUAAGGAUUCUAUUAUUCAUGCACCUAUUUUUAUUGUCCGACAUCAUUCUUAAUUUUCAACCGUCAGAUUAAAUGAAUUAAAGAACAUCAAAUGAUAGAAAUUAGAAAAAGUGUGUGAGAGUUAAAAAUGAGAAUGUAGAUAGCUUCGUCCAUUUAUAAAGAAUCAAUCGUACAUACAACCAUUUUCUUUUCAUUAACAAAUUCAAGAUAAUAUUAUUUGUAUUAUCUGUGAGCGAAUAUAACUUUAUUUAUUAUAUUUUAUUGUCAUGACAUGAGUUGACUCAAGUAUCUUUUACUAUUAUUUAUUCAGUAUUUUGAGGUUAGUCAAGUUAGAUAGAGUAGUGUGUUUCUGCAUCCUUAUUUAAAUGCUUUUUUUGUAUGUUAGAUCAAUUUAAAAUAAGUUAUUUGUAAAUAAAAUUUGUAUUUAAUUUACAAGUUAAACUAUAAAAAGAAGAAUCUAAACUUAGGGGUAGAAAAACGAGCACAUUGGUCUUUAGCAAAUUUUGGCUACACCCCUGUCUAUUGGUUAAACCAAACAACUUGAAGAAAUAGGAAUUCGGAUCCUCUUUGCGAGGAUCCCAGAAAUCCGUGAAUCGUGUUCGUUCAUCAUACAUCGUGGGAUCAUAAAUUAUUUUAAAUAUUUUUAUUUAAAAUUAAGCACAAACAGUACUUUCUAAAAACUGACCACACAAUAUAUGAUAAACGGACACGAUUCAUAAAUCCCUAAGAUCCUCACAAAAAAGAAUCCAAAAAGGAUCUUGUUGGAAGAAAUAGACCAAUUCACAUGCUUAAACUGUUUCAGUUGAUUAAGAUAAUUCAGCAUGUGUUAUCUUAAUAAGAAACACUUAAAUGUGACAAUAAUGAAGUGUUGACUUCUAUUUUACCCUGGUUUUAUCAUUAUAACUCUUUUCUCUCUCUCUCUCUCCCCCCCCCCUCUUCUCUCUCUCCCUCCUAAUAUAUCUACGGUAGUUACCAUUUUAUUUUGAAAAUUAUUUUCAUGCAUUUUUUUUGUUUUGUUUUGGAUAGACCGAUAUUGUUAGUGGAUUAACUCAGAAAAAGAGAGAAGGUAGUCUAUGAGAAUUGAACUCACAUUAAGGUACAUAGACAUAAUUGCUUUCAGCAUAAUUGUUUUCCACCAUUACAGUAAAGUGUUAUUUGUUUUUUAUUUAUAUUUUCCCAACGUAUGCCUACAGACUUUGUGUGUGAAUUUUUUUCAUUUUUAUUUUUAAAAUGAGAAGGAGAGAGGGUGACAAAGAAAGUGGGAGCGGGAGUGGAAUUACAUUACUGGCCAUAAAAAAAAAUUUGUGAUAGAAGACUAAAUAGUCAAUCACCCUCUUUUGGUUGACAAAGGGAGUUUUAUUAUUAAUUAAUACUAGAGAGACCAAAAUUUUAAACUAAAUUUAUAAACCAAAUGAUCUGUCACUAUUUAGAAAUAAGCAUGUUAAUCAAUAUUUAAAUAACAAUCAUCAACAACCACAUCAUUUGAUUUGCAAAUUUAGUUUAAAAAAUUUGGUGUCUCAAACAUUAUCCUUUUCUUAAUAGUAGUUUAGAUUAAUAACUAUCAAUUACUAUUGUUCAUAUCAAAUAGAAAUGUAUCAUAUCCAUUCCCAUAAAGGUCAUAACCGUAAAAAUUAGUUAUAUUUAUAAUUACUAAAUUAACAAAGUCUCAUUAAUUAACGAGUCCAUUUCAUCAAUAAAUAUUUUUUUUUUCUUAUAAUUAAUGAAACAAAUGUUUGAUUACAUGAUGUCAAGCAACAUUAACAAAAAAUUAUGAAUGAACGUAAAAUAUUAUCAACCUAACCAUAAAACGUCCACAUCCAAAACCAAAAACUAUAAAAAAGGUCGUACCCAGUGCACAAGGCUCCCGCUUUACGCAAGGUCUGGGAGAGGUGAAUGUCGGCUAGCCUUACCCCCAUUUAUGGAGAGGCUGCUCCCAAGUCUCGAACCCGAGACCUACCGCUCAUGGGCAAAGGUACUUGCCAUCGCAAAACCAAAAACUAUGAUUAAAAAAAAAGUGUAUAACCAAACAAUAUUGAAAUAUAGGCAUAGCUUUUAGUUUUGGUUCUGAUUAAAUUCUUGAUUUGAUAGUAUUUUAUUUUUACUAUAAUUAGAGAAAGAACAAUAUAUUAGAUAACUGCAUCUUCUGUCCCGAAACACAAUCUUUAAACCCUAAAUCAAGAAUUUGGUAUUGGAAAACCAUGAACUCGCAACUUAAUACAAAGAAUGAUGUAAAAUCCUUGAUGUGCUAACAUUAAGUUUCGACAUUGUGAAAAAAAAAAUAAUAAUAAUAAUUUCUAGCCAUCUAGAACGAAAAACAAAGAAAAAUCUUGUCUUCGGCAGGCACCCGUGUUUGGUCCUUGUUUGUCUCCUCUCUCUCCUCUUCUUCUUACUCAUGUUUUUAUGCUAAAAUUGUCGCCAUCAAAGUAGUCGUUGGGAAUUAUCUGUUUUUUGGCUUACAGCCAUAGCCAACACAAAGGUUUUGGCUCCACUUGUCACCUUCGAUAUGGGUUUGAAGCGCAUGAAAGCUCUUACAGUGUGCCGGGUUUGGGUUUAGUCAGUAAGGUACUAUGGUUUUAGUUGGUGCGAACAUGUGGCUAUCUUCGGGAUACAUACUGGUAGUACUGUUUUGUCCUUUUAGUUUGAUUUUGUUUAAUAGUUUUCAGAAAACUCACUAGGAGUUUGAUGGUUUUGGUUUUCCUGCUUAUGAGAGUUCUUUCAUUUUAGUUUUUUCUUGGUGUGCCGGAUCUCUUUCAUAUCUAUGUGCGAAAUGGUGAAGAUGUUUGAUUUGCUGAGUUUACUUAAAUUGGUGUUCUGGAGCCAUAGUGGUGAUUAAGUGAUGUUCGAUCCAUGAUAUAUCAUAUUGUAUGUCUCAACAUGAUUUCAAUUUUUUUUUGUUCUCAUAUAUGUUGGAAAAAUUAGUUAUUAGUUUAUUUUUGUUUAUAGUUUUCUUGUGGGACAAGGAUGUUAGAAUUUUCUAUAUCCUUUAAGGAUUAGGAUUGUGCCUUAGUUUUCUAUAUCCUUUAAGGAUUAGGGUUUGCUUUAGUUUUCACUAUAUAUAAUAGUGCUUGUAUUAGUUAGUUUUAACAAGUCAGUCACGAUGUAGCCUCUUAGGGUUUUGUAGCCCUUUCGGCAUUCUCGUUUGUUUAAUAAUAUUCUUAUUAUUUUGUUAAUCUUGUUCGUUUCACACUUUGAUAUUCAACUUGGUAUCAGAGUAGGUUUGAUCAUUUGGGAUUUAAUCUGCUUCGGGUUGGUAUCUGUUUGCUUGUUUUCGUUGUCAUUCGUGUUUAGAUUGUUAGUUGGUAUUGAUUGUUUGCAAGAAGAAAAAAAUUGUUCGUUCGGUUUUUGUUUUUUGUCCCGUGACUCUACUUCUGCGCCUUUGAACGCCGCAACCUGAGUAUCCGUAAGUCUGUAUUGCUGCAAAGGAAAAAAAGAGGGAAAAGUAGAAUGGAAUGAAAAAAGAAGGAAAAAAAAGGGGAGUAAAAAAAAAAGGAAGAAACAAGAAAAAAUUGGUUGCUUGUUUGAGGCCCAUGCGGGAAAAAAGAGAAAAAAAGUUUGGUUGGAUUUUUUGUUUGUUUGUUUGGAAGUUGGCGUUGGCAUUGGUAUCGGCAUCAACAUCGGCAUUGGCAUUAGCAUCAGCAUUGGCAUUGGCAGUGGCAUUAGCACUGGAAUUUGGAGUCUUGCAUCCGCAUCUACUUGUUGGCAAACUCAUGACGUGUACCGCCAUGAGUUUGACGGGAGGUGUUGGAAAAAUUAGUUAUUAGCUUAUUUUUGUUUAUGGUUUUCUUGUGGGACAAGGAUGUUAGAAUUUUCUAUAUCCUUUAAGGAUUAGGAUUGUGCUUUACUUUUCUGUAUCUUUUAAGGAUUAGGGUUUGCUUUAGUUUUCACUAUAUAUAAUAGUGCUUGUAUUAGUUAGUUUUAACAAGUCAGUCACGAUGUAGCCUCUUAGGGUUUUGUAGCAUUUUCGGCAUUCUCGUUUGUUUAAUAAUAUUCUUAUUAUUUUGUUAAUCUUGUUCGUUGUGCACUCUGAUAUUCAACUAUAUAAUCACUGUGGGAUAUGAGAAAAGAAAAGAAAUGCAUCGUUUGAUUGAUUGAAUGAACUUUUAAAGAUUCCUUAUCGAUCGAGUUUCUUCAUUCCAAACACUUUACAUGUUUGUUAAGGGAUCGAAAUGAUCAUUAAUUUACUAUCUGUGGCUCUCAACUCAAAGAAGAAAGUGUUGUCUUACCAGUCCAUCUCCUCAUUUAGUAUUUAAAGGUGGCUGUGGCUAUCAGUCUUUGAGGGACCUCCCGGCCACUCCCCCCAAACACCCAUAAAUAUAUCAUCCCACCCAAUGAAAAAGGUGGCAUUGCUUUUUUGUAUAUAAUGUUCAACGUUGUGGUUCACAUUCAGUAUUUUUUUCAACUUUUGUUAUGGUUCAUGUAACAAAAGAUAAGGUUCUCUCUCGUAUCUCUGUUGCAUUUUAAAAUAGAUAGGGUGACGUAGAGCACAUAUAGUUGUUGAGCUUCACACGUGGACUAAUCUGUUCUGAUACUAUAAAGAAAGUUAUGAUUCCACUAUAAAACUAAUUGACAAUAUAGAGAAUAACCCAACUUUAUUUAUAAGUCAUUGCAUAGUUUGGUCCCUCACUGAUGUGGGACUUUAUCCUCACAUUCUCACAAAACUAAUGACUAAUUAAGCCCACUUUAGUGAGGCUUGUUUUAGUUAUUCUCACGUGGUCGGUAUGUGUAUAAUUCACAUAUCGCUCAUCUUGUGAUUGAUCAUGUGAAGCAAUACAAUGUUGCUAUCAUAGAUAGCUUUAGUGGGCAAAAUAAAUAAUACAUGUACAUUAUCGUUGAGGCGUUCCAUACCAAUAAUACAACGACAUGUAUAAAUUUUACACUACAUAACGUCGUAUCAUUGACACAAAACAUCAUAAUAAUUCUGUAUAGAUGCCAUCUAAGUCCAUCUUCCUAAUGGGAUCACAUUUGAUAAAACAAAUAUUGUAUAAUUGCAUUUGUCCCACAUGUGCAAUAAUGUGCGAUAAUGGCUUCAUGGUCCAUAAACUGCAAAAAGCAAAUGGUGACAAGCAAACACAGUUUCCUCAUACGCUCACCACAUAAAACUAUAUUUCAAUUUUAUAAUUAUUAAGUACAGAAUCAUCUACAUUUUUAUUUAUUUAGGGUGCAAAGUUUUGAAACUCGCAUCCAAUUAUCGCACAGCUCAUCUACACCUUUUUUAUUUUAUUUUAUGUUAUUUGUUUUUCCCUUGGCUUUUUCUCAGCUUCUUUUUUGGAGUCAAAUUCAAAGACGCAAGCAAAUAGAAUACAUGCAAUAAUGUAAAGUUCAUAUUAUGUACAUCCCACCUAGUCCGAGAAGGACUUACGUGGUACAAGUUUAUCGAGAAAAGUAAAUUCUAAUAUUACUACUCUUUUCAAUAUGAAUAAAGUAGAAUGUACACUAUUACAUCGAGUCGCUUGACAAGAUAGUUGUGGCUUGUGGUGAAGCACAGAGGUGCAAGGAGGUACGACCACACCUUUAGUUGUCGAAUCAAAUUACUCAAAGAUGUGCGUUUAUGGGCUCAUGCUAAAGUGUUUCAAUCAAUUCCUGUCAAUAUAAGCGAAUACAAUAAAAAAUAUUUUAUUGUAUAGAUGUAUAGAUUUUUGAGAGAGAUACAUACUUAUAAUCGCUCUUAAGACCCACAUUUUCGCCCUUCUGUUGGGCUAUUGCUGCUUUACUGCGGCACUGCUACAUUUUGCCACCCUGCUGCGGCGCUGCUGCGUGCUGCCCUUUUUUAACACCAAAUCAAAACGACGUGGUUUUGAACCUUGGAAGCAAAAUGAAACUGCAAUUCCCUGCUCCCAUCACCAUUCUAUCUCCUACCAAUUGUUCAAUUCAGUUUCCUCAUUUGUCAUUUUUGAUUGAUUAGUUGGAAACAUAUGUUUUCACACACCCAUGAAUCUUUUAAAGGAAUUAGUGAAGAUCGGGAGGCAUAGAAGCUACAAAUUAGUGUAUAAGCUUUUUACAUUUAAUUUGAUGUUACCGGUUGCAACCACUUCUGUGGAGUAAGCAUUUUCUGCUAUAAAUACUAUCAAAACACCACUAUGUAACAAAAUAGGAGAUCAAUGGUUGAGUGAUAGUUUGACUGUUUACAUCGAGAGAGAUGUUUAUGCGUUUAUUGAUAAUGAGCCUAUUAUGCAACAUUUUUUAUAACAUGAAAUCUUCACAUCAACAAUUAUAACUAGGGGUGGAUUUUUUUGCCAAAUUGCCGUACCAACCGAAUUGCCAACCGUGCCAUACCGAUUUUGUGCCAAAUUUUUUGUACCAAUUGGUAAUGGUACGGUAUUGUACCGUACCGAAAUUUCAUGGUACAGUAUUGGUAAUGGAUACCAUUACCACGGUAUUACCGUACCAUACCAAAAAUACAAUAUAAUUUAUAAUUUAUAAAUUAUAUAAUAGAUAAUUAUAUAACACAUAUUUAUAAUAUUCCAAUAAUUUGAAAAUAAAACCCUACUUAUAUUAGUAUUGUUGUUGGUGACUUUGAUAUCUUAAAAUUGUGGAAAUCAAACACAAAAGAGUUCCUAAUUCUUUCACAAAAUAGCCAAAAUAUCUUUGUAACCCCCACUUCUACUGUUGCUAGUGAAAAUGCAUUUAGCCUAGGGAGAAAGGUUGUGGACCCUUUUAGGGUAUCCUUGACUCCUAAAAUAAUGGAGGCACUAGUGCGUACUAGUGGUUGACUUAGGGCAGAUGAAGUAAACUUCUACAAGGAACCAACGAAAUAUAUGCUUCAAUUUUACAAGGAAAUGAAAGAAGAAAAAACAAGAAAGAUAUGCUUUAAUUUUUUUAGUAAAUUUGUUAUUAAAUGGUUUUCAACUUUAAUUUUUCUUGCUACUAAUUAAUAUGCUUUCUUUGUUUGUAAUGUAUGCUUGACACAAACUCAAUCUUCUACAAGUUCAAUGCCUCUUCCAAAAGUUUCGACAUCUCAAGCUUGAAUAACUGAUCAAUGAAUUCUCCUUUUUGAAGUUUACUUCCAAUUUUCAUUUGGUUUGAAACUUUAAUUUCUAUUUGGAUUGUUAACUUCUAUUUGUUUUGGUUCGUAACUUCUAUUUGGAUUGUAAGCUUAAUUUUCAUAUUGAAUCUUGAUGCAUCAUUUGAAUUAUUAUGUGUGUGAAUUGUGAAUAAUGAAUAAUAGAUUAAUUUAAUCUACAAUGUAUGAGAUAAAGGUACAAAAAAAAAAGUUUUGCCCUUGAAUUGGGUUAAAAAAACAAAAACAGAUUUUGUCCCAAACAAAAUGGCAAUUACCAUUGCCAUACCAUGCCAACCGAACUUUUGGCAAUACCGAACUUCGGUAUACCGAAAGUUUGGUACGGUAAUGGUAAUAGAUUUUACUAAACCGAAAGUUUGGUACGGUAAUUGGUACAAGGGUUUUGGUACGGUAACCGUACCGAACCCACCCCUAAUUAUAACUUGUUUGUAUUGAUAAAUUAUGAACGACACUAAUAUUGUCUACUAUCUAAAAAGAUUUGGUUGUCUACAUUUUUCUUAAACCUUGCACCCUUUAAAAUUCCACUCCUUCCCCAAUGGUAGUAACUAGUUGGUUAACACAAUACAAUCGAUCAACCGACCACUCAUGUCCCCAAAAUUUGUCUUAUGUUAUUUGUAUAAUUAAAUGUCCUUGUACCAAACAUUUUUGUGUGUUAUAACUUAUCAAAUUAUGAAUCAAAACUUAGAUUUAAACUAACGGGUUUAAGAAUAAAUUGGUAUCGAAAUCAUGAUUCAAUUGAUUUGAAUUUCAAUAUCUCAAACAUAAGUAAUUCAGGAUUUUCACGUCGUCCUGAGUAGAACUUAUGAUUCACAAAACGUAACAUGGAUAUUGAUAAGAGCACAUAGUUUUACAUAAUCUAUGAGUACGAGCAGAUUCCUGAAAAAUAUGGAAAAGUAUAAGUGCAGUAUCAUCAGGACAAACACUUUCUAGGCAGGCACUGACUCAAAAUUUUAAUGGGAACGCACGACACAGACCAUAAAAACCCUAGAAAAAUUGUUGAGGGCACAAACAAAGGGGAAUGAAACUGGAUCUUCAAUAAUUUCCACUUUAAAUUUAAAAAUUAAAUGGUUUCUUUUAUUUAAUCAUGAAAAUGCAGAAUAAUGGCCACAUAUGUCUGCUUAAAAGCCAGCCUCAGAUAUCACCUACUGUAUAAUUCAGGUGCCUUUUGUUUGUGAGAGUACAGUGGAAGUGUGCGUGGAACACUGGAACUUACCUGGCCAGAGUCGAGUUCCUUCUUCCAGGCACGUAUGAGGAAAAUGUGGAACAUGGGACCGCCUGGCUCUUUUAGUAAUUAAUUUAAUUAUUUUUAAAAGCUAGUAUGUUCUUACCACUUAGUAUUACGACUUAGUGUUAUUCUUCUUUACUUGUAGGUAAGAAUUCUUAGGUUCGAUUCUCGCCAAAGACAAAUUUGAACCAUAUUAUUACUAGCCCAUUGUAAAGAUUAGCCUACUCUCCUACUCUUUUAGUGUAGAUAACAUCGUUUGUUUAAAAAAAAAAAAAAAAAAAAAACCAGUAUGUUUUUUUCACUUGUAUGUUUGAAUCUCUGAGUUUUCAAAUUUUGACUUAGAUUUGAAAUCAAUACAAAUCAAGUCAAAUCUUUAUAAAAUGAUAUGAUUUUGAAACUAUAUCUGUUUAUAUCAUACUUAGGGCCUCUGUAUUUAGACCUCGUAUAAAUACUCGGGGACUUAAAUGUAAUUAUGUAAUAAAGGAAGAGGCAAAUAUGUAAUAAGUGAGGAGCCCUUAUUCUAUAAAAUGACUCAUCACCUUCACAAUUAGAAGAUGACAAUUCCUAGGCCCUCUCACCCCCUCUCAAAGCCUCACUCUCAUUACAGAGGCUCUCAUACUCUCUCCCUCACAAUCCUCUCAGAAAUACAAUAUCAGUGUGGACUUAGCCCAAACAUUGGAGUGAAUCACGAUACAUCUUGUGUUAUUUAUAUUUUUUGCAGAUUCACGGUCUGAUUUACGUUGUUCCAAGACCUCCGAUUUUGUGCAUCAACAUUAUCAUUUCGUCUUUUCAACAUGAUUAGCAAACAAGUUUUUAGAUUUAGUUUCUAAAAUAAACAAAGAAGAAAAAACUUAAUACAACAGCAUAAUUAUCAAACGAUUUCUUAACAAGAGUAAGAAGAAAGUUGAAGUGGAAUAUCAUGAUGUUUGUUGGUAGAAACCUUGUGAACAUCUCCACCAGUUGGUGGAGGGCAAUGGCAAUUGAAGAGCAACGACAAUAAUGUUGCCUCACUAUUCAUUCUAAACAGUAAAUAUCAUUGUGCAAGUCCAUUCGUUUGGAAAGAGGAAGGACAAGGGUAAUUACUAUUCACAAACAAUUUUUUUAUUUUUUUAAUGUUUUCUUCGUCUUAUCUCCACGUAUCAUUAUUGCCGUAAUUUUAUAGUGUAAUUUGUGUGUUGAACUUUGUAAGAUUUUUAAAGUGUGUACAGUAUCUGUAAGUUUUUAAAUUUUUUGGUAAUUUUUAUGAUUUUUUUAAUUUUUUAUAGUUGAUUAAUCCUAAUUGUUGAACUGAACAAUUAUUUUUUAAAUCAAAGGCUCACAGAGAGCCACAUGGGUGGGGAAGUGGAAGAGAUGGUGAACAUUUCACGGAGUGUAACAGUUGACAACAACUCUGGGCUUCAAACAGGGCGCAAGCUCUUGCAGCAGCCUUCAACCCAAUUACCUCUCAUUUUGUAGACUAGUGAAGGAGAUUUUUGGCGUGAAAGGCAACUCAACCCAAUUGUUCUUGCAAUUGGAUGACUGGUGGAGAUGUGGAGCAUUUAAGUUGCAACGUCAGCAACGUCGGCAGCCUAUAUGUGUCGUCGGCAACGACAAUUCCCAUGAUAUUCCGACACGUGUUGCAGAUCCAAACGAAAAAAAUUAAUAAAAAAAAACUUAGGAAAAAGAAAUAUUUAUAAAAUAAUUCUGUGUAAUAAUUAAAAAACCACAAUAAUUGAGGCAACUCGUAUAGGCUAUAAUAAAAUGUUGAAAACGAGGUGUGAAGAUUUCUGGAGGGAGGAUUGGUGGCAUUUGGGAUCCUACUCGACUCCACACAUACAAAAAGUGCAGAGCUUUUUACAUGGAAAAGCAACAUCUUACUAACAAGUUGAAACCAUCUUUUGGUUUUUGAGAGUUGGUUGGAAUCAAAUCUUUAUAGGUAUCAUCAUCCAUGAUGUAUUGGAUUAGAAAACAAGAGCUUAGUUGGACUAAUAGCAAUCUGCCAACUUGUCAUCUUAAUUUUAUACUUAAUUUUGUUGUUUACAUCACUAUGUAGCACGAUUAGUGGUAUUUAUCCUUAUUCGAUGGUAGGAUGACUUAUGUUGACUCUCGUGAACGAUAAGUUCAAACUAAAUUAUUAUGAUGAUUGAUAUAUUAUGUGUCCAAAUCCCCCACUAUUUAGCAUGAAUAUAUUAUUAUUAUUAAAAAAAUAAAGAUGAAACACGACAGUUUAUUAUAUUUAUUUGUUUGUUAUUUUUACUUUUUGAACUGCUUUCGGAAGAAUUACAUGUGAGGGAACAAGAGGCGCUUUUCAAACAAAGAAUAAGCAACGUAAGUUGGUAAUUAUGCUGAUGCGACUACAAAUUGGUUCGAUACAACUCGAGUUAUGAAUAUAUUUUAGGUCAAAGUAGGAGGCUAGAAAGGUGUUGUUACAUGAAGAGAAUGUAAGAGAGCAAUAUUAGCAGUGGCUUGACCUUUAGUAUGCCCUAUGCCUAGCCUAGGGUUGAUUCAAUUUCAACUAUAUGUUUUGGGAAUUAUUAUUAGCAUUCCAAAAAUCUCAUUUAGCACUUCAAACUUUCUAUAAUUAGGAUAAAAAAUAUAAUUGUGAAGAAUUUAGAAUAAGAUUUUUAAAGUACUAAUAACGGUUCCUUAUAUUUUACUCAUCACAAAUUAUAGUAUCUACCAGAUAGUGUGGACCCCAAGGAAUAUGCAAUUAGAGGAAGAAUGACCCUUGAUCAAAAGGAAUCUCCAUGAUCAAAAGGAAUCUCUAUGGGCCCAUCUAACAUAAUAGAAAAUAUAAACAUCGUCGGAAUUGAUCAACCGACCUAGCUCUUGGAUUGGUGGAUGGGACUGUAUGUGUUCGGAUUGACCAAACCUCACACCCGGGCUUAGGACGCGGUCGGGUUAGGGUAAUUCGUCAAUGAAAGUUUUAAUGAACUUUUCUUAGUACUGUUUACUUUUAACGUUAAUAAUAUUUUUAUUUUAAAAAAUCACUCAUGGUAUUAUUCACUUAUAAUACAUUUUUGUCAUUUUAGUUAAAACUCAAAAUUUUCAAAUCAUUUUUAUUAUUUUUCCUUUCGUCAAUCAAGUUCAACUUAUACUCCUCUUAACAAAGAAAAUUUCAAGUGUAACAUGUGUAUACAAUCAUUUACUUAUCUUUUUAGGUGUAACAUGUGUAUACAAUCAUCUACCUAUCUUUCUCAUUACUGAAAUUUUGUGAUCAGUGGAGUAGCAAGAAUUGUGGUCCAAGAGGGGCCCAACACGCAUUUCUUAUUUUUGAAAAUUUAAGCAUAUCUUGCUUUCGACCAACUUUCGUUUAGGUUUUGAAUGAUGAGUAUCCACAAAUCUAGGACCUAAACUUGCGAUAUUACGCCCACAAAAUAAGUGAGGGAGUCAUAAAUUUUGGAAUGUGAUUUCCAUACUUCUUUUUCUCCUUCUACACUAUAUUUAUUCUGAUUGUUAAAUUGAAUAAAUCAGAACAGUAUUUACGAACAUUAAUACAUAAAAAUGUGUAGAAUGAGAAAAAAAAAUGUGUAAGAAUCAUUUUCCUAAAUAAUAUAAUAAAAAAAUAAUUGUGUAAAACCAUAGCGAAAGCUUCAAGGAAUAACCCCCAGUCUCUCAACCUCUUCCUCUUUCUCGCUAUCUACUCAAAGCUCCAUGGCUGCCAGCCUCCUGAACUCCACCAGAGCUCUGAGCCUACCAAAAAACUCAAAGCUAGCAUGGUAUUAAUUUUUUGAACCUGAGAAGAAAAAAAAAGAAAAAAAAAAGGUCAAGAUAGGCCUGAAACCAUUGUAGUCCUUUCAUAGCUCCGCCAAUGCGUGUAAUGAGAGAAAUAUAUACAUAAUUAUAUACAAGAAAUGAUAGAGAACUUUUUCUACUUUCCAACCUAUCAUCCAUGCAUAACUCAUAUCUCCAAUCCAUCCGCGUUGCACCCCUAUUUCUAAACUGCACUUCUAUAAGAGUUUGAACUGGAUCAAGUCACUAUAUGUUUGUGAUGGGCCAAGUUAACUUGAUUGGGCUUAUUCACAAUAAGACCCAUAUGCUAUUCAGCAACAACGUUGACUUAAUUUCCGGUGUUUGGACUGCUAACUUGAUAUUUGAUUAAAUUCUAUUAUCCAUCCUUACAUAAAUUAAUCCUAUUAUCUUAUUCCUAAAUAUAGCUUGUAACAAAGUCGUUUUCUUUUUAUCCGUAACACCUACGUUUAAACAAAGCAUAUAUUAAAGCCAUUAUUUUGUCACAAUGUCACAAGUGAAAAUCCCAAACCUCUCCGGAUCACCUAUAAAACGAAGCCAAUUUUAACAUGCCCAAAUCCUCCCCUCCAUCUCCCACCAUCUCUGCCUCUCAUCUACCCACCAUGGACGACGGCGGACAGCACCAUGGAUUUAAACUCACCCCUGAACUCAUCGGCCUAAUGGGCGUUGCAGCCGGAGCCAUAAUCGUCGCGACGUACCAAUGCCUUGUCAACCACAUUUGUUGCAGCCAAAUGCGCGUAGAAUACAACAUACAACAAGAACAAACACAAAAUGAACAUGAACAGCGUCUUCAAGGGCAUCACGUCAACCAAAACCUCAGAUCAACAACUGCACACAGCGUUAACUCGCCCUCCUACGAUCAGUUGAUCCCGGUUUUCAAGUACACCAAGGAAUGCAGAGAAGGAACCUGCGCCGUUUGUUUGUGUGAAUUUACCGACGGCGAGAACAUCCGUUUACUGCCGGAAUGUGUGCACUUGUUUCAUGUGGGGUGCAUUGACAUGUGGCUCAGCUCACACUCUAACUGCCCUCUUUGUCGAACUGAUAUUAUUCCUAGACGAGCACCGCAGCACGUUGUUCCUCCUCCGCAAGAUGUUGUGACUCCUCCUCCGCAGAAUACUUUGCCUUCACCACAACAUGUUGUGAUAUUGAUGCCAAAUUUCGGCGCGGUUCAUAAUAUGAGUACUUGAUCUUUGGAGUCAUGGAUUGAUGGCUUUUAUUUUUCAGUUGAUUAAGCUACUUUUGUUUAAAAGAGUGUAUCUAGUUAAGACUUGCUCAAAUUAGCGGGUGUUUUGCCGAAUGAAAAAAAAUGGAGGAGGUUUCAUGUAAGUGUGAUGAUUUUGCCGCUCCAAUUUAGCUUCUCACGCGCUCUAACUUACUUAGCUUAUAAUUAGGGGUGUGAUAUCCACACAUCCUUCUAAUUUUUAGUCGUCGGAUCAAAUGAAUUGAAGAAGAUCAACGGACAAAAAUUAACAAAUGAUGAGUAAGAAGUAAAAAAUAGUGUGUGGAUAGCUCGCCCCUAUAAUUAUUAUACACUUGUAAUGGCGAAACCUAAAAAUGAGAGUCAUUUUCUUUUCUCAUUGCGAUGGACUAUAGGAUUGGUGUAAAAGUCGUCCUACCAGUUGCGCGCCGAAUUAUAGUUGUCUCUCAAUCAAUCCAACCUGCCAAACUUGCACAGCGAUAGGCAUCACCAGUUGUUCUAUAGCUAGUCAACUUCAAGUUUUGUUUCUUGUUCAUCCGGGCCAUACUUAGUGGAACUGUGGCCCAAUUUUGUAUCUGGUUUAAUCCAGUCUGUUCUAUAUCCAUCACAGAGGACCCAAGUUCAGACAAGAUCCCUUAUUAAUAGGACCAAGACAAAGCUGGUGUAAAAAAAUACCGACUUCAAGGUUUGUGAUGUUGUUGAGUUUAUACUUUGGUUUACAGCUUGCUUUUGAUAAGGGUGAUACUAAUCUUAGUAUUGUUAUUGUUAUGUUGUUGAAGCAAACGUUGUUAAUUUCCAUCCUUUGGACACAAUCAUGCAUAGCUAUAUAUUAAUGAUGAGACAAUUGAGGAGAUGUGAGUUGAAACACAUUUACAGAGAGAAGAAUACUGUGACGGAUCAUUUGGCUAACACAUUUACAAAGAGAAGAAUAUUGUGACCGAUCAUUUGGCUAACUAAGGUUUUAAUAUGGAUAUUAGCGUUCUUGUAUUUGAUGAGUCUCUUGUUUGGAUUAGACCAGCUCUCAUAGAUGGUGAUGCUAGAGUCCCUCAGGCUCAGUUUGUGUAUGCUGAUAUUUUGAAGUUUGCUCUUUGAGUUGUAUUCCUCAUUCUUCCUAAAGAAAAUAUAUAUCAACUUACUCAAUAUCUAUCCAUAAAUUUUUCAGUGCGGUCAUAACUCUGCUAUGAAUGCUUCUAAUUUAUCCAUACUAGCCCGUAUGACAUAUCAUUGCAUUUAAAUUAUUUUUGACACCCCAAAAUAGUGAUAACACAUGCCUCGGUUACUGUUUUUGAAAUGAGAGGAAUGCAUGACUACGAAUUUGGGUUGCCAACAAUAGUUCUCUACCACAUAAAUAUAGCAAAAUUAUAUGUAUCUUGAAUGUGAGAUGUUCAUUUCCAACUAUUAGAAAGUACACUAUCUAAUAUAAAUUGUUGCGUAAUAAAUAAUUAGUGACGCGAGAGAAUGACUAACAAAUCAUAUCUCACCAUGAUCAUACUAACUGUGGUAAAAUAUGGAUCCAUCAUGAAAUUACUUGAAACUUGUCCUCAAACCCCACACACGUUCCCAUUAAUAAUUGCUCUUCACAAACACAAAGAAAACUCCACCGCAACACCUCAAACAAACAAAAACACAAAUAGAACUCCAAAACCUCACCCUCUCUCUCCCUCUCUCUCCCUCUCUCCCUCUCUCUCUCGCUCUCAUCAUGGACAGCGCACCCACCGUUCUAAACAAACCACCGCCACCUUUCCUCAUGGACAGCGCACCCACCGUUCUAAACAAACCACCGCCACCUUUCCUCAUGGACAGCGUACCCACCUUUCUAAACAAACCACCGCCACCUUUCCCAGCACCGCCUCGGAGCGUCGACUUCUCCGCCCUUGAAUUUAUCCUCGGCCUCAUCGCGGUUAUCACCAUCCCUGCUCUCGUCUACGCCUUCUUCUUCGCCAUCAAGUUCCCUCCAAACCCUUUUCGCCGGCGACCCCACCGG